This 262-nucleotide signal recognition particle RNA is filed under the name Clostridiales bacterium. RNAcentral's name for it is "signal recognition particle sRNA large type". It matches the Rfam family "Bacterial large signal recognition particle RNA". Rfam says of the family: The signal recognition particle (SRP) is a universally conserved ribonucleoprotein involved in the co-translational targeting of proteins to membranes. Archaeal SRP consists of a 7S RNA and homologues of the eukaryotic SRP19 and SRP54 proteins. In most bacteria, the SRP consists of a 4.5S RNA and the Ffh protein (a homologue of the eukaryotic SRP54 protein). The record is from RNAcentral. Lineage: Bacteria; Bacillati; Bacillota; Clostridia; Eubacteriales.
CCGUGCAGCCGGGGCGUUAGCGGUGCCUUGUACCUGCAAUCCGCUAUAGCAGGGGUGAUGUCUGACGGAGGGCUUUGGCUUUUGUGGCUGCCCUUUAUAAGUGGCGUUGAAGUUCGGGUCUUACGCAAUGGAAAUCUACGAACCGUGUCAGGUUGGGAACAAAGCAGCACUAAGUAGAAUCUUCCAUGUGCCGUGAGGGUGCCUGGCGGAGCUAACUGUAAAGGUAACGCACAGGGGUGUCGUUCGAAGUUGGGACGCACGG